This 442-nucleotide ribosomal RNA is filed under the name uncultured bacterium. RNAcentral describes it as "partial 16S ribosomal RNA". It matches the Rfam family "Bacterial small subunit ribosomal RNA", at positions 338 to 795 of the family's 1533-position model. The record is from RNAcentral.
CCUACGGGAGGCUGCAGUGGGGAAUAUUGGGCAAUGGAGGAAACUCUGACCCAGCAACGCCGCGUGAAUGAUGAAGGUCUUCGGAUUGUAAAGUUCUUUUCUAAGGGAAGAAGAAAGUGACGGUACCUUAGGAAUAAGCCUCGGCUAACUACGUGCCAGCAGCCGCGGUAAUACGUAGGAGGCGAGCGUUAUCCGGAAUGACUGGGCGUAAGGGGAGCGUAGGCGGGACUGCAAGUUGGGUGUCAAAUCUACCGGCUCAACCGGUAGCCGCACUCAAAACUGCAGUUCUUGAGUGAAGUAGAGGCAGGCGGAAUUCCUAGUGUAGCGGUGAAAUGCGUAGAUAUUAGGAGGAACACCAGUGGCGAAGGCGGCCUGCUGGGCUUUUACUGACGCUGAGGCUCGAAAGUGUGGGGAGCAAACAGGAUUAGAUACCCGAGUAGUC